RNA transcript from Trifolium pratense (red clover), 1940 nucleotides. RefSeq lists it as uncharacterized. The record is from RefSeq and is a predicted model, not a curated record. The transcript is spliced from 9 exons. NCBI's taxonomy places the organism in Eukaryota, Viridiplantae, Streptophyta, Magnoliopsida, Fabales, Fabaceae.
AUGUUACAAAAUGGACUUUUUUUACUUAUUAACAAAAACAAGAACAAGUUGUAUCUAGAUAUAAUAACAUGGCAAUCCGAGGUAGAGGAAGUGGACUUGGUCGAGGGAGAGGUCGUAAUCCACCUCAGCAUUCCCCAGAUCUUCCUUCACAUAUAGGUGUUCAGAAUAACUAGCACAAAAGGCAAAGGCUAUACAAGUCUUCUGAUUCUGAAGAGAGACAUGAAUACUACAUUUAUGAUGGAGGAGCCAAUCACAGGCGAGGUCAGAGUGAUGCAAAUAAUGUGAAAAAAUGUAAAGGAGUCAGUUUUGAAUUUUCCAACAAUAUGAGGCAAUUAAGUGGAGGAAUUAGACAUAGUCAAAGGCGAGGUCAGAGUGAUCCACCAGAGCCUUCACAAUCAUGCACUAGUCCAGCACCACCACCACCACACAUGUCAUUUUCCCCAGGUGUCAAUAAUGAUAAGAACAAAAGACAAACGGAAGGACUGACUGGAGCUGAUGCAAGAAAAAGUGUCAAGAAUGACCAAAGCAAAAAAGAAUGUCGAGGAUUGAUUGAGGCUGAUGAAUAUUAUGCCGAUAAUGAUAGUGAAGAUGAAGGGAUACAAGUCAUUCGAAAGAGAAAAAAUCAACAACAGUCACGCAGGCAAGAAACAACUUCAAUGCCAUCAAGUGGAGGAUCUCAUGAUAGGAGGAAAGUUAUAUCCGUUGAGGCCAUCUCUAAUCCGAGGAGGUUUGUUCCCCAUACUGUGACCCGUGAUAUUAUAUCUAGGGUGAUCACGAGUAUGCCUACUCCAGCUGAGAAGUGGAAGGAUUAUCCAAUUGAAACGAAGGAUGAGUUAUUUAAAGAUUUCAUGGGUAAAUAUAAGUUUCCCUCAGAUUAUGAUCGUAAUAUGGCAAGAACUGUGUGGGAAAAAACAUGCAUGGAUAGGUAUCCUGAUCAUUUAAAAAAUGCAAGAAACGCGGCCUUACGAGAAGUGAACUCAACGAAUUUGGUCGACACUAAGGGCCAUGGACCCAAAGGAAUGAAGGCAGAAGUAUGGGAUGGUUUGGUCGACAUUUGGUUGAAACCCGAGUGGAAAAAGAAGUCGGAUGCUAAUCGUUGUAAUAGAGCUUCCUUACCUGAUGCAGUCUUGCACACAGGAGGCUCCAUAAACUUUGGUGAACAUAAGAAGAGGAUGGAAGAGGAAUUGAAACAUGAAGUAUCAUAUAGGGAUGUAUAUGACCGGGUUCAUAAGAAGACAGAUGGACAAUAUAUCUCCCAACGCUCAAGAACGUAUAUUGUAAGUUACUUCAACUUUGAAAAAGUUAAUUGUAAUAUGAAUGUAGGAGUCAUAUGACACUGCCAUGCUGGAAAAGUAUGGAGAGGACUUCUCCAGUCAUCCCAUAGUUGAUUCUAAAGUAUGGACAAAAUCGUUUGGUUACAAGAAGACGAGAAACACUUUUGUGGGUCGCAGCUUAGACCUUAAUAGUUCUGUGCCUGCUUCAUCUGCAGAGGCAAACAUAAUAGUUACAUCAGAAGAAUUUAUCAAAAAAGCUGUUGAUAGAGCAAUGACUUCCUUUGUCCAGUCGCAGUUGGCUCCAAUGUUGGAGCCAAUCCUAUCGAUGAUUCGGUCUAUGCAUAAAGCACCAAUGCAACUUGAUGUGGCUGAAAAAGUUCACAGAAAUUAAGAUAGUGAAGAGGGAGAUGGAGACACAGGUAGCUAUGGCUGAUUUGAAGAUGGUGGAGCAAUGAAAGGGAGUUUGGAGAAAGUUGUGCAAACUUGUUUGGAGACACGGAGUUUUUUACUUGUUUGAAUGAUUAAAUACAAAAAAACAAAUUAAUUAGUAGUGGUACUGAGUAUUGUUCACAAUUGAAUGAUCAUUGGAUUCAAUUGAAUUGAUUUUUUGUUGGAUGAUCAUUGGAUCCAAUUGAAUGAUUUAAUUUUAGCUUGAUUAAGUUUCUU